CUGGUCAAUGAUGAUGCUCAAAGUUUCUAGUUCGAGUUUAACGACCAUGAGACUAGUUCACAUGCACUACCAUCUGAGACCAU
Molecule: small nucleolar RNA, 83 nt
Organism: Bombina bombina (fire-bellied toad)
Lineage: Eukaryota; Metazoa; Chordata; Amphibia; Anura; Bombinatoridae
Source: RefSeq, a predicted model, not a curated record